UAACUUCACUAUGCUAAUCAUUGUUGCCUUAAUCUGUGUGUCAUUUCUAAAGUGGACAACUAAAUAGGGACGGAGGGAGUAUAAAAAUAAAGAAACUUAAUUUUUGUGAAAAUGAGGGAUCAAUAAUAUAUAACUUCGAAGAAAAAAAGAAUUUUUGAAAACAAAUUUAUAUGAGGAGACAAAGUAAGAAAUCAUUGUCCUGAAAACCAAUCCCGUUACAGAUUUUUACUAGGAAUAGAAAUUGGUUCAUCUGCUAUAGUUUCACAGUGCAAAGGUGCACUGUAUCCAGCCUGUAAGAGGUAAGACAAAUUAAGGAACAGUACACCAUAACUAUUUUUUUAUUUUUUUUAAGAAUUCUGAAUUAUGUACAAAUAAAUCAAAGAGUUGUCCUUCGGGAUGGUUCACUUAGUUUGGAGGGUGGACUGUGAUCGAUCCCCCUCAAUGUCUUUUGAGUCGAAUCCAUCGCAUAGGGCUUGCCUAGUGCGGUUUACAUUUUCUGUGUGGUUUGCAGGCUAUUAUACAAUGGGGUUUACCCAACGCGCACAAAGUGCUCGCCCAAAGGACAGAAGUUGUAGCGACUGCGAGUUAUCCUGAAAUUCCAAAAGAAAAUAAAAAAGCUACACAAGAAAAUGUAUGUUGCGCAGUCAGAAUUUGAAUUUUUAUAGAUUUUAAAUUUUACUAUAGUAAUAUCAAGUGUUAGUAAUAAGAUAUUGAUUUAGGUUUUGUGCAUGUUUGGUGAUAUUAUUGUUAUUUUAGUAAUACAAAUACAGAGUUUGGACUCUUAGGUCAAACUCGUAGAUGACCCACUACAAAAAAGUCAUUAUUUUACCAUUCAAAUUUCUUAUUGAAAAAUGUAUGUCUAUUUUUAUAAAUAUUUUGAUUGAAUUGGUGAGAAAAAAAAUAAUUAGUAUUUUUAGAGGAAAAAAUAGAAAGUUAUCCAGUAUUUCAAUGAGAAUAUAUUAUCAGUGAGAAAUGAAUGAGAAAAAAAUCAUAUUUUAUCAUACAAUUUUUCAUUGAUUCGCAUAGCGAAAAAUCUUUAUUUCUAAUAGAGAUUUUCUAGCUCCGCCCUUGAAUUGGGGAUGGAUAAAAUUCAUUCACUCUAAAAGAUCUCGAGGUUAAGCUCAUGAGAAUGCAGAACCUUUGGUAGGAGUUGGAGGGGGACCCAGAUUUGAAGUUUAUAACUUCUUAUGGUGACCUCAAUUAGUUUAUAUAUAAUAAUAAUUGAACUUACGAUCAAAUAUCUACAAGUACUUAAUGUUUUUUUUUUUAAUAUUUAUACAAAGCAUGUGUAAAAGCUAAUGUUUCACAUGAAUAUGUUUACAAGCGUUUCUCCCUUAGCUUGAAUAGACCUUAUAUAAUGCAAAUUUGAAUUAAUCUAGGUAUCAUAUGGUAUAAAAAGGAGUGGUAGUAGUCAUUGGCGGAUCUAGAAUUUUAAGGUUAUGGGUGCUCUGAAAGUGGCCGAGUCAAAAAUAUAAAAAAACAUGUUAACAGUGAGAUUCAAACCCGGACUCAACAACAUUAAAAGAGCCUUAAACACCCACCCAAGAGCUAAUGGAUCAAUCGGAUCAUUUGUUUAUUAGGUGCUGGAUCUAUGUUAAUUUUAUACAAAUACCUCUUAAUUUCUACAUAGAUAUAUAUAUAUAUAUUCCGAGACGAGGAUAAUGGGUGCUCGAGCACCCGACGGACUCUACGUGGGUCCGCCCCUUAGUAGAUGAAAGAACAAGACCUUCUCCCCAUCCCUUUUCCUUCUUUAUCAAAGGAAAUAAUGAAAGCACUAGAAGUAUAGGGAAAUAUAAGCUCUCAUUGUCACCCAACCAUAAAUGGUACAUUAUACAUCAUCCCUUUUUUGUUCAUAGUUAUCUAGACUUGUGAAAGCAACUUCCAGGACAACCCCUUCAGGUAGACCAUUUAUUGUGGUUCUCCUAAUAAUAAUAAUGCCAGACAGUCUAAAAUUCUUAAACAGGACAAUCCACAUAUAUAUUAAUAUUCCCCACCCCCACUAUACUUUUUAGGACUUGAAGUUGAAGGAUAUAUAUAUAUGCAAUAUAAUGUGUAGGUAUUUGCAAAGGCGGCGGCAUGUAUAUAUGGAAAUUAAGGAAGAAUUAAGUUAUUAGUGGCUUGCAAAGAUGAAUAUCCUAUCAAUUGUGGAAAAUUGCUUAGCAAUGAAGUAGUUAGAUGGCUAAAAAUGAAGUAAAAGUGGAAAGAAGAUGGACUAGUGGACUCAAUUAAUGGCUAGGGUUUUAAAGGAGGUCUUGUGAACAUCAUAAGCAAAACACAAAGAGAAAUAGAGUACUAUUUAAAAAAAUGUGAUGACGUGAUUAAAUAUUCCUGAUUGAGUUUGAAUUUUGUGAAUGAAAAAUGUUUUAUUCUAUUGUGAAAUUACUCCAUAAAAUUGUUAAAAGUGAUAGGACAAGAUCAGUGCGGGACUUUUAAUUUGUCAUUUUUUAAUUAAAAAAGUGAAAUGAGUCUUGCUCUUGUAUCAUGUAAAAUUAAGUCUCGAGCCUAACUCAAACCACAAAAAUCAGCUCAACGGAUAUAAGAAAUCCACCCAUUUUAUUAACCAACAAUGUGCGACUUCGGUCCUUCUUUAACAUUUAGAAGAGGUCUUGCGAACAUCGAUAACAAGUAGUACAAAGCAUAAUAACCAACCAAGGUACACACUGUGUGAUGAUUGGGAAUUACUAGAGUACACCUAGUUAUGCGAAUGAAAAAAAAUUAGUAGUACUUAAUAAGAAAUGCUUUACUUACUCUUUAGUUAAUAAGACAUCCUAUAUAUCCAAAUCAGUAAAUUUUGCAUUCUAAAUGCUGGUAGAAAAAAGAAAAAAAACCCAACUAAAAGUAGAUGGACAAUAAUGGCUCAAUGGGUAGGGUUUAUAAGGGAAGUCUUAUAAACAUCAUGAGUAGAAAGUACAAGUAGAAUUUUUCUUUUUUCUAAUGAGUGUGUGCUACACUAAUACUAAUAUGAUAUUUGGCUCGAAUUAUUCAUAUCCUUAUCACUAUCUAAACUUGGUAGAAAGUCAUGCUGAUGAAGAAAAAAAUAGUGGGGUAAUUAGAAAGAGGGGGUGAUGGUGGUGUUUUUUUUUUAAUUAUGGAAGAGAUAGGUAUCUACUCUUUUGAUUGAAAGUGACAUUUAGUUCUGAGCAUCCUGGUCAAAAGUUGCUUUUGCCUUCACAAACAUUUUCUAUAGACUGACUGACUACUCGUGAGGAAGAGGCCAUCGUAGCUUCUGCUCACGCAACGCAACCCUUACUGUUGUAAUAUAUUACCUCAAAAAUCUGAGGUAGUAAUAUGUUUUGUUACUUUGAAAUACUUUUACUUGUCGACUUUGAAAUUGGCCAUGUAUAGUAUAAUUAACUUCAUUAAUACCUUUACUAGAGUGUUGAAUUCGAAAGGAUUUAGAAGGAUGCUUUGUGAAUCGAGCAAACAACUAAAUACAAGAAAAUAGAUAUAGAAAAGGUCUUUUGUGUGAGAUAUAAGGUGAGUUUUAUUGAAUAAUAAGUGAAUUUCUUACUUAUUUUUUUAGUGUUUACUAUGUGAACGGAAUGGGAGAGGAGUGAUGGUUCGGGGUACUGUUGGGAUGGUCAAAUUAAGGAGGGGGUGGUAGUGUUGGAAAGAAAUAAUGAACUUAGGAGUUGUUUGAUUUGAAUUCAAGUUAUGAUGAAAUUAAUUAUGAUGGGAUAAGUUAUGCUAAAAUUAUUUUUUAUUGAGUGUUUGGUUUGUUGUAUUUAAAAUAAUAAAUCUUAAGAACAUAUAAGUUUACAAAAAUACCUUUUAUGGAUAUGAAAAGUAAUGUAUAAAAAGUGUUUAAAGGGACAUUUUUGUCAUUUAGUCAUUUUAUCCCAGGAUUACUAUACCACCCAUGGGAAGGGAUAACUUAUCCCGAUAGUAAUUAUUAAUUCCGGGAUAAGUUAUCCCGGAGUUGCCAACCAAAUAAAAAAUUAAGUGACACUAUAAUUUAAUCUCAGGACUAUUUUAAGUUAUUUUUCACACCAGACGACCCCUUACAAUAUUACUUUUCGAGCUUUUUUUUCUACUUUGAUUAAAGAAGUCAUUUUUUUAAUUUAAAAAAUGAAAAAAAUUCUAAAACAUGGAAUCAACCAAAAAUGAAAUAAUUGGAAAAUAUGUUUUAGAAAAUAAAAUGUUUUUCUUUCGUACUAAACAGGCAAACACACUCUAUAGACUCCAAGUUAAAAGAGGGAAAUUAAACUCUUGUGGAACAAAAAAGAGGGAAACUAAAAGGACAAUAAUUUUUCAUCUUUUGAGUUGAGACUAAAGGCAAAAGCUAAGAAGCAAAUAAUUACUCUCUUGUUUAUUUUAUUUUUAUUUUUUUUCACAUUAGAGGGGAGAAGGGAGAAAAAGGAAAGGAGAAAGGGAUGUUACUCUACUGAUAGAGUCUGAACCCCUUCAUCUCAACUGUGGGAAGCAGAUAAUUCACUAAAGUCGGUUAGUCCUCAACAACAACAUACUCAGUAAAAAAAAAUUAUGAAGCGUUUAAGAAAAGUAUAGAACCUACCUUGCCACAUAAAAAUAAAGAGGUUGUAUUUGAAAAACCUCGACCUAAGUACUACAUAUUAACAGAUAAAUUACAAGUCAACUAACCCUCAACCCCAAUAUUUAUUUCAAGUUGUUAGGGAUCACUUAAGGGCUUUUUCCUUUUCUCCUUUUUGUUCUUAUUUUACGGGGAAGAUGAAGGUUAAAGAGAUGGUGGAUGAUGGAGCUAGGAAAGAGGGGAUUGAAGGGUAUUUUUUUUUUUGUCAAAGUAUGUGUCAGUGCUGUCACGUGAACUUGAAGCUAAGGGGAACAUUUAGAGAGUGUUUGGAUUGACUUCAAAAUUGGUCAAAUCUAUUUUUAAGUCAAUUUUUACUUUUGAAAGUGUUUGACAAAUAUAAAAAAUAAUUUAAAAUAAGUAAAAAAUAACUUAAAAUAAGUUGAAAAGUGUUUGAUAAGGUAAAAAAUAACUUAAAAUAAGUUUAAAAUGACUUAAAAUAAGUCAAAAGCCAAAAGUAGGUCUUCCCUUACUUUUUUUUUGAAUUAAAAGUCAUUUCAGUUUAAUUUUUUAUUUUUGACAUAAAAACUACUUUUUUUUAAGUCAAUCCAAACGGAUUCUUAGAGAAGUUUUUAGCUAUGAUUACCAUUCACUUCACUCGUAUAAAAAAUCAUAAUACAUGAACAUGCUAUUUAACUUAAGCUUUAACUGACAGUUAUAUCUUUUAACUUUGAUUGUGCACGAAUAUACACUUAAAUUAAUAUAAAAUUUAAACAAAUAGACACAUUUGUUCUAUCUAACAAUGGUGUGUCUUACAUGUAUUAUGUCAUAUAUAAUACAUAUGUUUACUUAUUUAAUUUUAUACAAAUUUAAAUAUUUAUUUAUAUACACUCAAAAUUAAAAGGUAUAAAUGCCAAGCUAAAACAAACUUAAAUGACACAUCUAUAUAUUAUUUCAAUAAAAAAUCAGUUGUAACUAUACAAGUAGUAGAGUGUCCCCUCCACUCUUUUUUCCCCCAAAUUCCCUUUCAUACUUUAAAACUCCCACAUGAGAAAGCUAGAGAAUGUUUUUUUAAAAUUUUUAUUUUUGUGGUAUUUGCACCAAUUUACACAUAUUUUGAUUAAUUUUAUAGAAUACUUGUCAUCACUUACUAGCAACAUAAAUGGAAUUACUUAUUAUUUUUUUUGUUUCUAUUAAAAUUUAAACGUGAAACCUCAUGAUUCCUAAUUAUCCACUUCAGUAACCACCAAGUCACACCAACCCUUGGUGCAAGCGAAGCCUUCUUUAUCUUUAUAUCAGAUAGGGGACCUUUGUAAAAUGGAAGUACGGUUACACCUCUCUUUGUCUCUUUGCAGCUAAUAACAUAACAUGACUGCUCUUUAUCUUCAUCUUUCUUUCUUUGUCAACAAGAACAUACACCACCAUGGCUGUCUUUCUCACUAGCUAAUAUAUUCCAGCUAGCUAGCUUAAAUACAUGGUGCUCAAACUCGCACGAACACAAAAAUAGCCACUAAUAUACCUAUACCUAGCUAUUAUUAUUAUUAUUAUCAUAAUUAAGCACACACCAAGCAACAUACAUGUAAAACCACACAUUUCACCUGUCCUUCUCAACCAAAAAGCUAUGUUAUCAUCAUUAUAUUAAAAAAAAAUAAAAAAAUCACAUAUCCUUCCCCACUUUCUCUAUGUGCUAUCUUUGUAUUCAAAAUUUAUAUAUUCAAGAGAAUUAUGAAGAGUCUCUCUCAAAAAAAGUUUUUAAAUUAAUUUAUAACGUUUUUUUUGUUGUUGAUGAAGCUAGCUAGCUAGCUUAUUAAAAGUGACAAAACUCAAGAAGGUGAUGUUUGUGGUUCUUUCAAGUUGAAUAGAAGUGUAGUAGGUUGUCCUUAUCAAGCAGUUUUUUAAAGAUGUACCCUUCGAGCCCCAAUAUUUCCAGCUCUUCAUCUUUCUUUCACAUUAAUAUUCCAUCUCCUUCUAUGCAAUAUGAACCGGAAUUCAUCCAAUAUUUCCAUGACUUUCAAUUCAUCCAACCUGCAGCUUACGAUCAGAAUAAUUUGGAUACCAAUAUUACGGCAGAAGAAGGUGAUCAUAAGAUGGAAGAAGAUGAAUUGAUCAUGAAAAGCUGCAAGAACAAGAAGGAUGAGAGUACUAGUACCACUACUACUAUUCGUAGGAAAAACAACAAGAGAACUACGAGUGGUACUGGUGUAGGACCUUCGAAGAAAGAUAGACACAGCAAAAUAAACACGGCACAUGGCCCAAGAGACCGAAGAAUGAGACUUUCACUUGAAAUUGCUAGAAAAUUCUUCAAUUUGCAAGACUUGCUUGGGUUCGAUAAGGCUAGCAAAACUGUAGAAUGGCUACUCACAAAGUCAAAAUCAGCUGUAAACGAUCUCGUUCAGAAAAUUAGCAAAGGAAAAUGCAGCGCUAGUACAAAUCCUAAUAUUGGUGUUGUAUCAUCUCCCUCCGAGUCAUGUGAAGUCAUAUCUGGAGUAAUCGACGAAUCAGCAGCAACUAAUAAUACUCACAAGCAACAGAAGAAAAAAAAGUCGAUUCGUAGGGCAAUAUUUCAUCCAGUUGUUGCAAAGGAAUCAAGGACAGAAGCAAGGGCAAGGGCAAGGGAAAGAACAAAAAUAAAGAAAAGCCUAAAUAAUAAUAAUGGUGAUCAAUCCAUGGCGCCUGAUGAGGAUUUAACAAGAUCAUUAGGAUCUUGGAGUACUACAUUUGAAGAUCAUCAAUCAGGUAUUCAAGCCUAUAAUAAUACUAACAAUAUUAUGAAUGCUGUUGAUAACUUUAAUUUGGUGGAUACUAGCAAUUGGAGCCCAUUUAUGUUCAACUAUCACCAAAUCAAUACUGAAAUUUCUCAGGAGGUAUGUAUUAACUUAAUUAGAUUAUUAUUAUUAUUAUUAUUAAUCCGAUCGCCAAAUAUUUAUUUUUAUUUUUAUUCUUCUGUUGCAGCAUCAAUUGACAAACUUCCAGUAUCCUGGCAAGUUAUGGGAAGCUUAAUUAGGGCAAGGAAGUUCUACUUAAGCUUGUUGAUUUAGUGCAACUUCAGAAGAAGGCUAUUUGGUCAUGUUGGUAAUGUAAAAUGAAUUUGUCUAUUUUAUUAUUGAGUGUAUUCCAUGAAAAACAACUUGUAUUUUUCUUAUAAAUAAGCUCAUCUUUUUCUUUCAAGUCAUUUUCAAUAACAAAAGGAAACUAGACUUAUGUCCAUUAAUAAUUAAUCAUUAAAGAUGGGAACAUUAAUCCACUAAUUGAUAAGUAGUUCCAUUCUUUGACAGUUUACCAUUUAAUCAUCAAAUUGACUUUAUGUCAAAAUCCAAAUAUUAUCAUAAAAAAGUGAAGACUUCUUAUAAAAGUCCUAGAUCACACAAUAUCUUUGUAGUAUUUUUUGGAGGUAAGGUUCGAUCCCCUCGUAUAACCUAUACUUUUGAUGAAAUACAACACCAAGACAUAUAUGCCUAACUAAGAAAAAAGAACAAAGAUAUUGUUAACUAAGGUUUCUCUUAUAUCUUAUUGAUUCUAAACAUCUCAUAUAUAUUCAACAUAUAAUUAACUUAAUUUCAUAAAGUCAAAAUUCUUCUAUAGAUAAUGUUUGGAUAACUGUCCACUCAUAUAUAUAAUAAUAAUAAUAAUAUAUAUAUAUAUAUUCUGAUCAUGAAGUUUCAAAAGGAUUCCAAAACUAUUAUUUGCAUGAUAAGAUGCCACACAUAUAGAACAAAUUAAUAUAUUUAGCUUGUUGCAAUUGCAGUAGUAAAAAUUAAGAUUCGAAAAUAUUAUACAAUCCAAAAUUGUAACUUCUUUAUUAAAUCUUAAUAUUAAUGAGAAACAGCAUGUAUUAAUUAGCGGAAACAUAGGGAAAAUGAGCUUGAGGUGAGAUUAGAUGGAAUUUAGUUGCCAGAAGUAACCAAGAAACUACUCGACCUAGUACAUCUGUAAUAGUGACAAUGAUAAUAUUGAACUACGAAUGAUUCAGAUAACUAGGCUUAAUGUUCAAGGAGAAUGAUAUAAUAGAUAAAAAAUAUGACACAUAAAAUCAAAAUAGUAAGGAUGAUUGAAACAAAACAAGAGAAGUGCUACUGGUGUGUUAUGUGAUAGAAGUGGUAUCUUACCAAAGUGAUGAAAGUCAAGCUCUACAUACAAUAGCAUUAAAAUCAACAAAAUUGUAUAUAUAGGAGUUAAUGCUUGGCCUCUAAAGUCAAACAUAUCCAUAAAAUUAGCAUCAUAGAUCAAUAUGAAUUCUGUGAUGGAUGUAUUGUCAUAGAAGAUUGGACAAAAUAAAAGGUGAUCAAACCACAUUAGAUAGAAGGUGCAAGUAGCUAGCUAGUACACAUAAGAUAAAAUGAGAAGAUCGCUUGAGAUGAGCCUGAAAGUGUGAGAGUGUUAAAGAGGACGAGGUAGAACUAAAAUCACAUUGAAGGUAUUAGUCUUGAAAGACCUACAAUCUCUUUGAAUCCAUAAUAGUGAAAGAAAGAUCUCUAUAUAUAGGCGAUACCAAGUAGUUGGAAUUAAUUAGUUCUAGUCAUGUUAGUAUACUAAGUCCAAUAUUUGCUCUAUAAAUAUGAGUCUACUAGACUUGUUAGUUAUGUAUAUGUUAGUAAUAGUGAAGAGAACUUCUACAGCUAGUAAACUAGGUUUUAUAACAUUGAAUUGAUCAGAUGAGCUUAAAUGAAGCGACAUACAUAUAUAGUAAGGGUUCAUAUGGUAUAUCUCAACUUAUUUGAAACUGAGGCAUAACACCAUACAGAUUUAACAAAGUCUAUAGUUUAAUAUUAACGUAAUUCAUUGAGAGUUGGCGUAGAAAAUAGAGGCCUUAAAAGAUCUUGUUUUCAUGAAAUCAAUCAAAUAAUUCUCCAUAUCAACAUCUGAUGUAUGCUAGUGCAGGAAUUUUAAAUCAUCAGUCAUAUUAAUCCUUCAUUAGUUAUUCCUUGUUUCUUGCCUUUGUAUGGCAAAUCAAAAGGAAUAAAAUGAUACUGGUAACUAUUAUAGCACUUGUUAAUUAGUUAUAUCAUUCCAUUAACUAAGUGGAUGAAAAGACAAAUUUAUUAGGUGUAUCAAAGUAGUUUGAGAUGAAUGGUCAUAAAUAUGGCAUCGUUUCCAGAAUCAUUACUAUGAUCCUAGCAUAGCAUAUCCCUCUACACUGAUUUGAGUGCCAAGAGAUUCUCUUGUUUUAGUAAUUGUGCAUUAAUUCUGAGUUUUCUGAUAAAAGAAAUCAAUCUUGGACCUAUUUCAACCCUAAAAGUUAGCUCGUGAUUAGGGGGAGAUUGUCCAAGACUGUAUAAAGAGACCGCACGUCAAUCCCAUUUUCAUCCGACAUGCAUGUGAAUCUUCAACACCCCACUUCCCAACAUCGGUAAAUAAGAAGGGAGAUGGGUCCUGCUUUAAUACUAUGAAAAAGAAAUGGAUCUUAAGUCUAACUCAACCUAGGUUGCCCUAGACCAUAUAAGGGAUCCCUUUUUCAUCCGAUGUGAAACGGUCUUCAAUACUUUCAGGGUCAUUUGUUUGGGAACAAGUUAUCCUAGGAUUAAUUAUUCUGGGGUUAACUAUCUUGGAUAACUUAUCCCACCAUGUAUAUGUGAUAACUUAUACCGUUACACUAUGAUAUAAAUGAUGGGAUAAGUUAUCUCAAACAUGACAUCAAAAUUUUAUCCCUGGACUGUUUAUUUUUAUCAUUCACGCCAAACAACGUAACCCUUGAUUGACAAAACUUUUCAAUUCUACAAAAUUAAGGUUUAGUCAAAAAAGUCAGAGAAGAGGAUAAUGUUGUAAUAUUGAGGGAUGAUUUACUAGGUUACAUUCACAGUAUUUGAUCUUUACUAAUAAUAAGUCACAUCUGAUCUGAUCAGUGACACACCAAUUAAUGUCCUAAUAGUAACUUUUCCACUAUUUCAAGACGUAAUUUAAAUUUCAGGUACAAGACAAAUAAUUAAGAUAAUGCCGACUACUUCAAUAAUUAUGAUUUACUAGUACCAAAUGAUUUACUUUCAAGAAAGAAUUUCCCAACACUAGUUUUUGAUUCAUUAGAUGCAUAAAGGCUACUGAUCUCCCAUAAAUGCGCGCAAUAUAAAGAGUAUGAUAAAUAAGGGGUGUUUCAUUACAUAAAAAAUGACCUUUAGAGAUAAUUAAUUAACGAUAAUAGCUUAAUUGCCGCUAAAUAUGUAUUGUCCCUAAAGCCUAUAGGGACAUUGAAUCCAAUGACAAUUAACUAAUGCAGGUAAGAGUUUUAAUACUCUUUGUUAAUGUGCAUAUUUAUUUUCGUUAAAAGCUGUUUUUACUUUUUAUUGUAGUGUUCAUUGAUAUAGGAUGUAUAGUUGUAUACUAUUGAAUCAAUUAUGUCAUUGACUAAUCUAGGCAAAACAAGAUGUUAGAGAAAUAUGGAUAUGGUAGGGGUCUUGCCAAAGCCCCCCCAUCACACAGGAGGUGAACACUUCUGUGCGAAUGGUUUUUUGGUAUAAAAAAAAAAAGAUGUUAGAGAAAUUAAAGGCAUCAAAUUGGAAUAAUUUCUUCAAUUUUCUUAAUAUCAUAGUUUAAAUUGAUUAACAUGAAAGGUUUAUGUCCUCCUCCGUACAUGGACUUUGGGAUGGAUAGGGGUCAUGUCAAACCCCCACACCACCUCCGGUUAAUAUAGCACUCAUAAAAGGUUAUUAAUAGAUGAGGAUAAACAUAUGGGUGGCUUUGAGAACCAAGAAAUAAAGGUAGUGACUUAUAUAUAGUACCUGAAAAUGAUUCCUUAAUGAGCAUAAAAGGUUAAAAGAAGAAAGUUACUAAGAAAUAAAAGGAGAAAGGUAAUGGAUAGGUUAAAUGAACCAAAAAAGGAGAAGCACAAAAGUGGGGAACAAGAAAUUAAAUAAAACAUAUCCUCAUAGGUGACAUUCCCAAAUGAUUUAUCUUUUAUUUUUUUUGUGACCAACAUUUUUUUAUUCCUAAGUUUCUCCUCAAAUAUGUAGAAAAUAUGCAUAUAAUUAGACCUGAAGAGAAUUAAUUAGGAUCUAAUUAAUUUGUCACAUCUUCUUGUAGCUUUGUUAAAAUUGCAAGGUUUCUUUAGUUUACUAAUGUAAUUAAGUACACUAGAUAUAUCCCCAAAAGAGGAUGUGAUGCGGUGGAUAAGGUUACUCCUCCAUCAAAUAAAUGUUUCAGUUUCAAGCCCAAGAUAUGAAAGAAUUCCAGGUAGAGAGUGCUACCCCUGAAUCGACCUUACCCAGAUUCGAGUUUCAUUAUGAGUAUCGAACACGGAAUGAAAAAGCAAAAAAAAAAGAAGUACUUACAUAAACUAAAAAUCAGGAUUGAUUUUAAUUAUAUAUAAACAAAUAAUUAAUCUAACCUAAUUGUAAUUAUACUAUAUAUCUCUAUAUAUAAUCUAUAUAAAGCAUGUUACAACAAAUAUACAAAGCAUUAGCAUUUGGAUCUUGAGGAGUGCUUCUCUCUACCAAAAUAAGUGUUAUCUUAGCAAAAAUCAUGUUUAUUAAGAACUUAAUAACUAUAAUGUGUAGUUUAUAAAACUAUUCGGAUUUAAUAAAUGUUUUUUUUUGAAAGUUGAACAUUUUUAAGGAUAUGAAAUUUAAAAAUAUAGUUGAAAAAAAAUACUAUUUUUUAUCUUAAAUUUUUAAGAUAAAACUUAUUUCGGGACAACAUUAUUUUAUUAACGAGACACUUAUUUUAAGACAGCAAGAGUAUCAAUUUACUUAAAUGAUCGUAUAUAUAUAAACCAAGUGAUUUAAUUUAAGUCAUUGAGAGAGUUGUAUAUAUUUCCCAUCCACCUUUAUUCCCUUUAUAGUUAAGUUUUGAUUUGCGGAUGUGGAGACAAGAUAAAAGUAAAAUUUUCAUUAUUUAAAACUUGUUAUUAUAUGUAAGACAGUAGAUAUUUAUUUUAAAUGAUUAUUGCAUAUAAUUUUACAUAGAUUUUUUUUGAUUCAUGGGUUUUUAUAUUACAAUUAUCAAAUUCAUGUCAAUCAUCAUAUAUUUUAGUUGCAACAUAAGAUUUGUUGAGUUAAAUUUUGUUUAAAAACACACUUUUCCUUUCUUCUUUAUAAGUGACUAUAAAUAGUCAAAUAUUACACCCUCGUUUUUAGUUUAUUUAUUUUAAUUUAACUGAAUACAAAAAUUAAGGAAAUAAAGAAGUUUUUUCAAAUUUAAUAUUUUUAAACUAAAGAUACAUAAUAUAUCAAAAUGUAUUUUAAACUUACUAUCAUAAACACAUGUCACAUUAAAUAUUGAAAUUCAAAAGUUAUCAAAUUAAUUAGUUUUUUUUUUAAAUGGACUGUAAAAAAGUAAAACUGAAAGAGACAUGUUUUUUAUUACAUUAUAUAAUUUUCUCCAAUCAAAACAUAUGAUGAGUGUUCUACAAUCCACACAUGACACUUGGAAAGAAUCCAGGUUGAGUCCAAGUGACCAAAGACUCAGAGUCUCAAACACAACCGUCUAUUGAUUAAUAUUAUCGAUGUGAAAUAUCACAUGUAAAAUUUAUUUUUAUAAAUGAUGAUAUAUGUUACUAUUGCAGGCCCCUCUCUGCUUAUGCACUUCGUCUUGCUCUCCUCGUGGAAAAUAUAAAUUUAGAUCGAAUGUAAUAGCUUUAAUUUAAAUAGUAUGCUUAUUAUGAUAUUUUAGUUUCAUAUUAUUUUGAAUUUUGAAUUUAGAAUACACUUCUACCGUUGUACUUUCCACCGACCUAAAUAUGGUAAAGUAAAUCCUAGUAAUAGCAGUAAUAUUUGACUUGGAAGAACUUUACAGACAUGAUAUGGAUUCUAAAAUCCAAUUACUUGGUUUAAUUAGCUGGAGUUGGAAAUUACUAUUAAUUUUAUUUUUUUAAAUCCCAAUAAAAUUCACCUUCUUUAAAGGAGGCAUUAGUGAAGAUUCCAAUUUCUCAAUACUUAGAUUUAAAAAAAUAAAUAAAGUGAACAUAUAUAUGAUGCUAAGAAUUUUUUAUUUAGAAAAAAAUUGAAUUAAAAGCAAGAAGCAUGAUAGUGUCGCAUUUAGAGGCAGACCCACAUGGAAGAAGCACAUAUACCAAUUGACUUCAACAAAAAAGCAUCCCUCAAGGGCACGCAAUCCAAGUUGUGAUUUUAAACAGACAACCUAACGUAUGCAAAGUGAUGCUCAAACCACGCGUCCACUAGGUGAGCUUCAUCCAACUAUGCCCUUCUAUUUAAAUUUUUAUGUUAGUAUACAUCAGUUCUAUGGGUACCUUAAUAAAAUCUUCAUACAAGCAUCUUCAACUAACGUGCAUCUGCUUUUAGGUAUGUCUAAUUAUCUUUAAAUUUUGGAUCCGCCUUUUUGAAACCACCCAAGUGGUAAAUGACCAUAGUACAGAGUACAGAGCAUAUUUGCAGUCAAAAUUAAUGAAUUGUGGGAAAGAAGAGGAGUGUAUGUUUCUCAGUGUACUAUCCGACCCACGGCGACAAAAUUUUGAACCUAUGGUGGCCCGGGCAUACCAUAUUUGGUCCCCCAUCCUAUAAGGUGGAAUUAGCUUAGCUGCAGGCACCUACAGCACAAAUUUAGGGUUUUUGACCUAUCAUAUUGCUUCUUCCUCACUAGGGUUUCUGUAUAUACACGUGCUCUACCUGCACCCUCUUUGUACCAUGAACUUCUCUGAUAUUUUCUUCUAACCCUAGAAGAAAGAUAAAACUAGGGCUCAGAUUCCAUGGGGAAGGGUGAAAAUGGAAUAAAUGCCUAAAGCAUUUCAGAUCCGUUUGACACUAACAUGAGUUGUGAUGGGAUAAUUGAGAUCCAAAAUUUAAAAUUGAAUCUAUCUCGCUCCAAUACAGAUAUUGGACAGUAUUGGUGUAAAAGGUAAAGGAGGAGCAUCUGAAACUGUAAUUGGAGAAAAAAAGAACCCUGAAAAUAUAUGCCUAUAGAAUUUAAUUUGGAACUCUAUUUUUCUGAUGUGAUGAGAAAAAAACAAGAAAGAAUCAGAUGCUAAACUAUGCUACAGAUGAUAGAUAAGUUCAUCUAAUUAAUUAGAGUACCAUUUUUUGGUUCUGCUAAUUUGAAGCCGCCUGAAGAACCCUAACCUGAGAGAGCGCCGCGCCUGGGGAGAGGCUACAUACAAAAAUGACCGGCUCGGCUGCAAAACCAAACAGCUUGUCAUUCCUUUUUUUACACCAUUACGUGGCUAGAAUUAACUGGCCACCGCCUAAGAGGCUAAGACUAGUACAAGUGAAAAAAAUAAUUCAUUCGCUCCAACUUAAAAUCUUUAAUUUUAGAAAAAAUCAUCCAACUUAAAAUCUUUAAUUAAAAUUGAAAAAAUUCAUUCAUUCAUCACAUCGGUCACUCUCUAUAUAAAAAUAUCUAAAGCCUUUAGUUGAAUGAAGUAACAUUAAUAUUUUUGUAACAAUAAAUAUUACCGCUAAAAGAAAAAUUUAUUGCUACUAUCUUUUGUCAUAGCAUAUGCAGUUGAUGAGAUUUGAGUGCUCUAGUUUAGUACGAAUUAAGGUGUUCCACUGAAGUAUAGUUUAUAAUAAUCAUAUGGAUCGUACCAAAUACACACUUGACCUAAUUGAGAUAAAAUCAAAGGAUGACACGAUUGCAGAAGCUUGUCAAGGGUCAAAUUAUAUGUGCACACCACCAAUAAUAAGAAGGCUAAAGGUCACGCAUGGGUCAAAUUAAAUGAUCAAUCACUUCAUUACUUUUAUACUCAAUAGAGAUGUCAAGUACAUUCUUUUUUUUUCCUACUUCCCCUUCAUGUGGUUUAGUGUAACGCACAUUAUAUAGCGCCAAGCAAAAUAAUUGAACAAAAAGCUUGUGUCAAAUGUUGUCUAAUCCUAAAGGACCCCCUUAUCCUUCUGCAUCAGUACUAGCUACAAGACGAAUACUAAAGGAUAUAUAGGACUUUAUUAUAAGGAGAGAUGUCAACAUUCUCAAAAGCAAAAAUUAACAAUACAAGAUUUUUUUAUGUGCUUCUAGAGAUACCUAACGUUGAUGAUGUCUUCAUCACUUGUUCAUUAUCUCUUUCUUUCCGAGACGGAACUAGAGUUCUAGUUACGAAUUCGAUAAAAUAUCUACAUGUGUUAAAGAGAUUCACUUAAUAUGUAUAAAUUGAUUCAAAACUGAUAAAUUUAAAAUUUUGAGUAUGAUUUAUCAUGUUUACAAGUGUCAUUUUGUAUUACUUAUUACUCUAGUACUAUUGCAGACAUUGAUGUCAAUAUUCGGUUGGCAUCUUUUAGCCUACAACAUAGCCUGUCAAAUGGGCAGCUUUAACAUAAUUCUUAGUAACAUUAAUAUGCUAAAAUUAAGUAUUGUUCUAAGUCCCAUCACUAAUUAUUGGUAUCUUAUGAUAAUCUGUUUCUCAAUAUUGUUCUAAUAGUAUAGCUAUUUGAGUGGAAACUAUUAUUACUUUGUUAAGAAUAGAAAGGAGAGGUGGAAUUUAAAAAUAUAUAGAUAAAGAAAUAAGGGGGGAAUCCUUUCUUUUGAUUCUAGCAUGUGCUCGUUUAUUUGUCAAACAACAAUAAUUUUAGCUGAUAAUUAUUGUGAGAAUAUAACAACAUAUAAUCGGUCUGAAGAGAAUAGUUUGUAUUCAGAUCUUACACCUAUGAUCUUGUGAAGAUAAAAGAGGUUGUUUAUGAUGGAUUCUCAAAUCAAGUAAAGAAUUCCAAAACAUGUAUGAAAAGGGAAUAGUAAUAGUGAAGAAGUAAUGAUAAAAGUAAUGGUGAAAAGAAUACUGAUAAUGAAAUUUAGACAACGUUAGACUACCUAGUAACCUUCUAUCAUAAUCUUUGACCUACAUACUCUUAUCUAGGGUCACAUACUUAAUUAGUAAAGUUACAAGUAUGUCAUGUAAUGCCUAAUCACCUCUCCUCAAUAUUAUUAUGAAAAUAUACAUCACUUAAUCAUUGUAAAACCCCAAAUGUGAGAAUACAAAAUAUGUCUCGCAAUUAUUGAUUUAAUUAGUGUAAAUAUCAAAUACGAAUAAAUAUCGUAAUUACCUGUUUAUUAAUUGUUUUCAUUACUUGCAUUGUUCUGCAUCAAAACUGCACUCCUAUACAAUAGAGAGUAUCAAAUUUCAUGCUUUUAAGAAUUAUUUUAUCUCCUACAUACUUGGCAAUUGGAAUGAACAAAGAAAGCCAAUACAUGAAGAAAAAAUAUUGCUAAGAAAUCUUGGUCAACAUUUUCCAUUUUUUUUUUAAAAGUAAAAAAUUGGGGUAGGGGUAAGGAAAAAAGGGGAAAGAGGAUCAAAAUAGGACUUUCGGGAGUGAAAAUUCCUAAUAGCAAAUCAAUUGAACGACUAAGAUAUUCCGAUUAUUUCAUAAACAUAUAAAAAAAAUUUGAAACAUCUAAAUGGAACCCUCUCCCGGAGCAAACUCAAGCACUUGCUAUUCUUCGUGGCCCAACCCAAAAGUAUAUAUUUUUUUCCAAAAAGAAAAAAGUAUCAUGUGCAUUGUAUAUUUGACUUAAUUAUGCGUAAUUGACAAACUAAUGUUAAUGUCUCAUGUUUGUAUUGUUUCGAAAAUACUUUUUUUCUAUGUUGAUUUUGCACAAAUAUCUUAUACCAAAAAUAUUAUUAAAUCCUAGACGUCAAAAUAAUCAUAAUAAAGAAUAUUGAAAUGUGUAUAGAGUAGGUAGCAUAGGAAUUGAGUGAGAAUCAUGAGAAUUGAUAUUCUUUACAAGCCAUAUCUACCCAUGAGAUAUCGCCGUACUGAUGGGCCUUAAGGGUCACUGUGGGCCGGAUACUGCUCUAUGCCUCUAUGGUCAUUUCACUUGGGCUAUUCUAGAGGUGGCAAUUGGAGUGGGUUGGGUCAAAUUUGAACGGGUCAUAAUGGGUUAAGAUAAUAAAUGAAUCAAAGUUUGAUUUUACCCAAACUUAAAGUGGUUUGGAUUGAUUUGGCAGGUUGAAUUUGAUUUUUCCACAUUUCAUGUGAACAUUCUUCUACAUUUCGCAUAACGUAAUCCAUGUAUCUUGAUACCAAACACAUUUUGAAAUACAAAUACAUCGGGAAAAAGGCGAGCGAAAGAGUCAUGAGAUUCUCAGAUACAUGCAAAUCACACUUAGAGAGUGUAUAUGAAAUAAACUACACCUAAUUUGAUCCAUAUUUAUCUGAGAUACACGUAUCAUUUUUUUCAACUUUAACUACAAAAUAAUUUAACUUUUUUAAAACGUCAACUUCUAUCCUCUUUCUUUUUUUGUUUCAACUUCAACUAAAUAUUGUUCAAAGGUCAAAUAAUAUUUUAUAUAGCUUAAAAUAUAAAAGGAGUAAGGAUAAAAUAGUAGGAGUACGGGGAAAUCCCCAAAAAGCUGGAGUGAACAAUAUAAAUGGGCCAGGGGCCUGUUGUUCUCAGUUGGACUAUUAGGUUUACUUACUUAAGGACAUACUUUUACUUCAUUUAGCAAACUUCUUAAAAGCCCAAAUAUGGGCCUGAUCCCUCUUUACUUUUCUAGAAUGAUUACCCAAUCUACAUUAUCAUCACUACUUUUCCCUCUAUUAGCAACAACAAACUUUUUUUUUGCUUGAUAGAAAGUGAAGAAUUUAAAAUACACACAAUGUCACUGUUAAAAAAUUAUGUCUCAAUUUAUAUGAAUUAGUUUGACUUGCGGUCAGGGAUGGAGCCAGUCUUCUGUUAGGGGUUCAUUCGGCGGAAAAUAUUACUAUUUAUAUAUGGUUUAAAUUAUUUUUUAUGUAUAUAUAUAGUAGAUGUUGAACCCCUUUCAAUUAGUUCGUGUGUUUAGUUCUUCAGAUUUUGAAUCCCCUUAAAUAAAAUCCUAGCUCCACCACUGCUUGCGACAUAGAAUUUAAAAAAAAAAAAAAACUUUUGAAUUUUGUGGUCUAAAAUAUGUCAUAGAUGUUUGUGUGGCUAUAAAUCAUUUCAUUAAAAGUAAAAUAAACGUUUUAAAAUUAAAUUGUUACAAAAUAUAAAAGUGUCAUUUUUUUUACAACGGACUAAAAAGAAAUGUGAGUCAUAUAAAUGGGGACAGAAAAUUUAUCGUAGAUAUUUUGAUUGAAUUUGUAAGAAAAGAUAAAAUAGUAUUUUUUUCACUAGAGAAACUAUUUCCUACCAUACGUUUUUCGGUGAGCUGGUUCGGUGAAAAAAUUAUAUUUUAGAACAUAAAUUUUCAAUUGAUUCAUGAUGAGAAUAACCUUUAUUUCUAUUAGUAUUUGUAAUAGGAUUAUGAAAUUUGUUUCACUAGUCAAAUAAUAUAUUCACAUGUAAAGACAAAAAAAACUACACUGUAUAAGAACCCGUUUGGAUUGGCCUAAAAGUCUGUCAAACCUACUUUUAAGUCAGUUUUUAAUUUCUGAAAGUGUUUGGAAAAUAUAAAAAAUAACUUAAAAUAAGUCAAAAAUGACUUAAAAUAAAUUAUGAAGUAUUUGGCAAAGUAAAAAAUGACUUAAAAUAACUCAGAAACCAAAAGUAGGUCUCCCCCUUACUUUUUUAUUUUUUGACUUAAAUAUCAUUUCAAUUUGACUUUUUUAUUUUUGAUUUAAAAGCUAUUUUUUUAAGUCAUUUCAAACGGGCUCUAAAUCUAAAGGAAAGAAGACAAAAAAAAUUCCGUGUCUCCUUUUUGUUGCAGAGAAUGAAGCCUGGAGUUCCACACACUCCUCUUUUUAAUAUCGUAAAACGACAAAACAAUUUAAGGAAUGUCCUAAUCAUUGCGUCUUUUUUUUUAAUCCCUAAUUCAAAAAAACAUAUAACUAAUUACUCCAUAUCUCUUUAACAUGAGUAUCGGUUUACCCACAUGGGUGUCCAAUCUAGUCUAGACAGUGGCGGAGCCAGAAUUUCUAAUUAAGAGUUUAGAAUCUGAAAAAAUAGACACAAAAUAGUUAAAAGAGCUUCGACAUCUACUAUAUAUACUUAAAAAUUAUUUUAAUCAUGCAUAUAUAAUAUAAUCUUCGGUCAAAGGAGGUUCAAAAAUGACCCCCGAACUAUAAGGUGUCUCCGCCACUAAGUCUAAGGUAGUAAUUAUGAUAUGCUUAAAAAAUAUAUUUUCAUACAAAAUAUUUUUGUUUCGUACCAAAUACACGCUGAUAGUUGUAAAGUUACAGCUUCAUUCAGGACAAAGUGUUUGAUUCAAAUGAUAUCUGCAUUUCUGGAUCAUAAUCAUAUUUACUCUGAGUUUUAAUCUAUGCAUGAAUAUGUAAAUAAAGUUUUACAAUUAAACCAUUUAUAAAAUGUUUACUAAAUCUCCUGAUAUACAUUAUAAAAAUAAUAACAACAAUAACAUGGCAGAAGCACUAGGAAGCCUUGCUAAGUUUGGAGGGAAAGUUUGUAACUAAGUUUAAUUUAUUUAUUUUGGUAGUAGAUAGUUAUAAAUAUUGGGAUUCUUAAGGUGUAAAUAAAUGAGAAAAAAGACAUAUUUUGAAUUGCACCUCUUUAUCUAACUCUUUCAUUGUUUAUAAAUUCAAAAAUCUCUUACCUCAUAUUAAGGGUCUUUUUUUUUUUUUUGACUUACUGUUGCAAACACAGUUUGAUAACAAGAUCAUGGUAUGUAAUAUAUUUUAUUUUUGAGUUAAUCUUAUAUUCUGUCUGUAGAAGACUAAAAAAUCCCAGUUAUUUCUACUCCUUUUAAAUAAAAUAAAAACUAAAAUCCUUGUAAUUUCUACUCUUUUUGUAACUCAAUUUGAAGAUAUAAAAACCUAACCAUUUUAUUAAAUUUAUUUUAAAAAAAACAUAAAAACAAAAACAAGAAUUAUUUUAUCUCAUAUCAACUAUUUUUGUUAUUUUCACUUCACAAUACAACACCACUCAAGGCACAACUUUAUUUUCAUAUAAAAAAAAUGCUAGUUUUAGCUAAAAAAGUAGAAAAUAAAUAGUUCUAGAAGAAGAAUGAGAAGUGAUUGAAACUGACCUUAAAUCAUGCCCUAAUAAUAUUCCAUCUUCAUUUCUUUCAUAUUUUGUACAAUUUCUAGCUGAUAAAAAAAAAAAAAGUCAUUAACAAGUACUUACCACUUAUUACAUAUUAUAUAUGAUGAUUUUGAGAGGAAAAAAAAUGAAAACAUUUAAUUAGCAUAAUGAGAUUCCAUAUUCUUAUUCUUUCAAAUUCAAAAACCUCUACCUUAUAGCUUUGCUUGAGCCGUUAGCCAUCGAGAAUCGAGUAGAUAGGCCAUAAUACCUUAGGGUUCGAACAAAAUCACUCAUUCUUCUAUUAUAAAUAGAUGCACGACACCUUCAAACCAGGGCCGAUUUUAAAGAGUAGAGAAAUCGACACGUGUCUAAUGUCCCAAAAUUUAAAGAGGACCAUUAAAAAAAAUACUCAUAUAUUUAGGUGGUACCAAUGAAAUACAGUUAAAGUAAGAAAC
This 20706-nucleotide long non-coding RNA is filed under the name Solanum tuberosum (potato). RNAcentral's name for it is "long non-coding RNA (STUB_LNC004223)". Lineage: Eukaryota; Viridiplantae; Streptophyta; Magnoliopsida; Solanales; Solanaceae. The record is from RNAcentral.